Molecule: ribosomal RNA, 253 nt
Filed under: uncultured bacterium
Lineage: Bacteria
Description: partial 16S ribosomal RNA
Rfam family: Bacterial small subunit ribosomal RNA
Source: RNAcentral
UACGUAGGGGGCAAGCGUUGUCCGGAUUUAUUGGGCGUAAAGAGCGUGUAGGCGGCCAGAUAGGUCCGUUGUGAAAACUCGAGGCUCAACCUCGAGACGCCGGUGGAAACCGUAAGGCUAGAGUCCGGAAGAGGAGAGUGGAAUUCCUGAUGUAGCGGUGAAAUGCGCAGAUAUCAGGAGGAACACCCGUGGCGAAAGCGGCUCUCUGGGACGGUACUGACGCUGAGACGCGAAAGCGUGGGGAGCAAACAGG